GAUGAACGCUGGCGGCGUGCCUAAUACAUGCAAGUCGAGCGAACGGACGAGAAGCUUGCUUCUCUGAUGUUAGCGGCGGACGGGUGAGUAACACGUGGAUAACCUACCUAUAAGACUGGGAUAACUUCGGGAAACCGUAGCUAAUACCGGAUAAUAUUUUGAACCGCAUGGUUCAAAAGUGAAAGACGGUCUUGCUGUCACUUAUAGAUGGAUCCGCGCUGCAUUAGCUAGUUGGUAAGUUAACGGCUUACCAAGGCAACGAUGCAUAGCCGACCUGAGAGGGUGACAGGCCACACUGAAACUGAGACACGGUCCAGACUCCUACGGAAGGCAGCAGUAGGGAAUCUUCCGCAAUGGGCGAAAGCCUGACGGAGCAACGCCGCGUGAGUGAUGAAAGUCUUCGGAUCGUAAAACUCUGUUAUUAGGGAAGAACAUAUGUGUAAGUAACUGUGCACAUCUUGACGGUACCUAAUCAGAAAGCCACGGCUAACUACGUG
RNAcentral lists this ribosomal RNA (497 nucleotides) under uncultured bacterium. RNAcentral's name for it is "partial 16S ribosomal RNA". It matches the Rfam family "Bacterial small subunit ribosomal RNA", at positions 28 to 507 of the family's 1533-position model. The record is from RNAcentral.